CUGGCGGCAUGCCUAACACAUGCAAGUCGAACGGAACUAAGGGGCUUGCCCCUUAGUUAGUGGCGGACGGGUGAGUAACGCGUGAGCAACCUGCCUUUCAGUGGGGAAUAAUAUCCUGAAAAGGGUACUAAUACCGCAUAACGUAACGAGAUCGCAUGGUUUUGUUACCAAAGAUUUAUCGCUGAGAGAUGGGCUCGCGUCCGAUUAGCCAGUUGGUGGGGUAACGGCCUACCAAAGCUACGAUCGGUAGCCGGACUGAGAGGUUGAGCGGCCACAUUGGGACUGAGACACGGCCCAGACUCCUACGGGAGGCAGCAGUGGGGGAUAUUGCGCAAUGGGGGAAACCCUGAACCGCAGCAAUGCCGCGUGAAGGAUGAAGGUCUUCGGAUUGUAAACUUCUUUUGUCAGGGACGAAAAUUGACGGUACCUGACGAAUAAGCUCCGGCUAACUACGUGCCAGCCGCGGC
This 467-nucleotide ribosomal RNA is filed under the name uncultured bacterium. RNAcentral describes it as "bacterial SSU rRNA". It matches the Rfam family "Bacterial small subunit ribosomal RNA", at positions 36 to 518 of the family's 1533-position model. The record is from RNAcentral.